GAGAAAAGAGAGGAGUCCUAGUUAUGACUCUUCUUAACCCAAAAAGAUGGAAGACGAUAUAAAGGGAACGUUCUCUCUUCUGUCGAAUUUCAAGGUGUUCAUAACCAAACCCAACAGUCAAAAUGAUGACAUUUCAAGCUCCACAAGUAAAGGCUUCCUCUAACCCUGCUGAAAUGAAAAGAAAGCGCGGAAAAACGACUGGAAAGGGUAUGAUUAAGAUGAUUGCUAGGACUUGCAACGAGAAGAUGGAGAUAAUAUUUGACCGGAUCUAUGGGGUAUGAGGCCGAGAGAGGAUUGGCAAUGACUAUGUGAUAAACUCUACACCAAUCCAAAGUAUAUUGAAAAAUGCAACAAGAAUUCAGCUAGCCGAAGAAACAAAAGAGUAUGAAUCGUGGGGGAGCUGUGCCUUUCAUUUAACAUGCCUUAAGGAGAGCCAAGAGAUGAAGAUAGUGUCAAACAAUGCAGACAAUUUGGAACAUGAGGAAUUUGAUGAAG
This is a long non-coding RNA of Rosa chinensis, 495 nucleotides long. RefSeq lists it as uncharacterized. The transcript is spliced from 3 exons. Lineage: Eukaryota; Viridiplantae; Streptophyta; Magnoliopsida; Rosales; Rosaceae. The record is from RefSeq and is a predicted model, not a curated record.